RNAcentral lists this ribosomal RNA (505 nucleotides) under uncultured bacterium. RNAcentral's name for it is "partial 16S ribosomal RNA". It matches the Rfam family "Bacterial small subunit ribosomal RNA", at positions 28 to 507 of the family's 1533-position model. The record is from RNAcentral.
GACGAACGCUGGCGGCGUGCCUAAUACAUGCAAGUAGAACGCACAGUUUAUACCGUAGCUUGCUACACCAUAGACUGUGAGUUGCGAACGGGUGAGUAACGCGUAGGUAACCUGCCUGGUAGCGGGGGAUAACUAUUGGAAACGAUAGCUAAUACCGCAUAAUAUUAAUUAUUGCAUGAUAAUUAAUUGAAAGGUGCAAUUGCACCACUACCAGAUGGACCUGCGUUGUAUUAGCUAGUAGGUGAGGUAACGGCUCACCUAGGCGACGAUACAUAGCCGACCUGAGAGGGUGAUCGGCCACACUGGGACUGAGACACGGCCCAGACUCCUACGGGAGGCAGCAGUAGGGAAUCUUCGGCAAUGGACGAAAGUCUGACCGAGCAACGCCGCGUGAGUGAAGAAGGUUUUCGGAUCGUAAAGCUCUGUUGUAAGAGAAGAACGGGUGUGAGAGUGGAAAGUUCACACUGUGACGGUAUCUUACCAGAAAGGGACGGCCAACUACGUG